This 591-nucleotide ribosomal RNA is filed under the name Triticum aestivum (bread wheat). RNAcentral describes it as "partial small subunit ribosomal RNA". The record is from RNAcentral. Lineage: Eukaryota; Viridiplantae; Streptophyta; Magnoliopsida; Poales; Poaceae.
AUGCUGCUGCGGCCGACGCCGCGGUUGUCGAAGCAGCAGACCUCGAUGCCCUCGCCGACGUCCUCCUCCUCCGGCGCCGUCGCCGUCGCCGGCGCGGCGGCCUCCUCGUCCGUCCUCGCGGCGGGCUCGGGCACGUCGCCGCCGUCCGCCGGCUCCAUGGACCCGGUCAGCCCCCUUAUCUGCGGGCCCCACGAGUCGUGCGUCCCCGCCAGACCUGAAGCGAAGAACCAUUUCUCAGAGAAGAGUUCCUCCGAACCAGAAAAAGGAUUGAAUUUUUCCACUGUAUCGAAUUGGCCGGGGGGCGGCGUGCUUACCGAUGACGAGGAGCACCUUGGUGGCGCCGCGGCCGUAGCGGCGGUAGAAGAGGCGGACGCCCUCCCACUUGUCGCCGGCCUGGUACCGGUCCACCUCGCAGUAAGGCAUUGCUUCGCCGGCCGCCUCUCCUCGCCUCUCGCCGCCACCGGGAUCGAUCGCCUGGCUCCUCUCCCUCUCUCUGCCAGGGAUUUAUGGAUUUAUUUAGCUUCUCGUUACUGGGGAACAGAACAGGUGGGUCGGGCUGGGUUGCCGAAUCGGGGGCCGAAUCGGAUUUAA